UUGAUCCUGGCUCAGAUUGAACGCUGGCGGCAGGCCUAACACAUGCAAGUCGAGCGGAUGACGGGAGCUUGCUCCUUGAUUCAGCGGCGGACGGGUGAGUAAUGCCUAGGAAUCUGCCUGGUAGUGGGGGACAACGUUUCGAAAGGAACGCUAAUACCGCAUACGUCCUACGGGAGAAAGCAGGGGACCUUCGGGCCUUGCGCUAUCAGAUGAGCCUAGGUCGGAUUAGCUAGUUGGUGAGGUAAUGGCUCACCAAGGCGACGAUCCGUAACUGGUCUGAGAGGAUGAUCAGUCACACUGGAACUGAGACACGGUCCAGACUCCUACGGGAGGCAGCAGUGGGGAAUAUUGGACAAUGGGCGAAAGCCUGAUCCAGCCAUGCCGCGUGUGUGAAGAAGGUCUUCGGAUUGUAAAGCACUUUAAGUUGGGAGGAAGGGCAGUAAGUUAAUACCUUGCUGUUUUGACGUUACCGACAGAAUAAGCACCGGCUAACUCUGUGCCAGCAGCCGCGGUAAUACAGAGGGUGCAAGCGUUAAUCGGAAUUACUGGGCGUAAAGCGCGCGUAGGUGGUUCGUUAAGUUGGAUGUGAAAGCCCCGGGCUCAACCUGGGAACUGCAUCCAAAACUGGCGAGCUAGAGUACGGUAGAGGGUGGUGGAAUUUCCUGUGUAGCGGUGAAAUGCGUAGAUAUAGGAAGGAACACCAGUAGCGAAGGCGACCACCUGGACUGAUACUGACA
This 737-nucleotide ribosomal RNA is filed under the name Pseudomonas aeruginosa. Its description in RNAcentral is "bacterial SSU rRNA". It matches the Rfam family "Bacterial small subunit ribosomal RNA", at positions 13 to 745 of the family's 1533-position model. Lineage: Bacteria; Pseudomonadati; Pseudomonadota; Gammaproteobacteria; Pseudomonadales; Pseudomonadaceae. The record is from RNAcentral.